GGGGCCGGGCGUAGUGGCUCACACCUGUCAUCCCAGCACAUUGAGAGGCCAAAGCGGAUGGAUUGCUUGAGGUCAGGAGUUUGAGACCAGCCUGGGCAACAUGGAAAAACACCGUCUCUAAUAAAAAUAGUCAGCCAGGUGUGGUGGCACAUACCUGCGGUCCCAGCUACUUGGGAGGCUGAGGCGGGAGGAUGGCCUGAGCCUGGGAGGCAGAGGUUGUAGUGAGCCAUGAUCACACUACUGCACUCCAGCCUGGGUGACAGAGUGAGACCUUUUCUCAAAAAAAAUACAUAAAUAAAAAGCAAAAAUUGUACUGUUGCAGAACCUUGCCUUAUUCUGGUUAAAAGCAUGGCUCACGGCCAGGCAUGGUGGCACAGAAAUACAUUACAUUAGGGUAAAAUGCUCUGGGAAAAAAGUAAAUGGAAAUAUGGGCUUAAGAAGAAAAAGGAAGAAUAAAAUUUCUGUGAGAGAAAAACUUGCCUAUGAAAUUGUUUUUUAGACAGGGUCUCGCUCACUGGCCCAGGCCGGAGUGCAGUGGCGCGAUCACAGCUCACUGCAGCCUCAACCUCCCGGGGCUCAAGUGAUCCUCCCACCUCAGCCUCCCAAAGUGCUGGGAGUACAGAUGUGAGACAUGGCGCCCAGCCCUGUAAAUUUUUUAACGAAGAAUGGUAGAUUAUUCUACCUCAAUUUCCCAGAUUUAUUCAGAUGAGUGACGCAAUAGUUUUAUUUUAAAAUGACAAUACUCAGGAUGGCAAAUAGUUAUUUGCAACUGGUUA
RNAcentral lists this long non-coding RNA (776 nucleotides) under Homo sapiens (human). Its description in RNAcentral is "HSALNT0246578". The record is from RNAcentral. Lineage: Eukaryota; Metazoa; Chordata; Mammalia; Primates; Hominidae.